GAUGAACGCUGGCGGCGUGCCUAACACAUGCAAGUCGAACGAAAAGGCCCGGCGCUUGCUGCUCUGACGUUAGCGGAGGACGGGUGAGUCACGCGUGUAUACCCUCCCUAUCUGUCUGGGAUCACUUCGGGACACCGGCUCAAAUCCCGGAUAAUCUCUUGCUCCGCGUGGUUCAAUAGUGAAAGUCGGUGUUGCUGGCACUUCUCGCUGCUUCCGCGCUGCAUUGGCUAGUUGCUACGGUAACGGCUUACCACGGCAACCAUGCGUAGCCGACCGGAGAGAGUGAUCGGCGACACUGGAGCGGGAACACGGACCAGACUCCUACGGGAGGCAGCAGUAGGGAAUCGGCCGCAAUGGGCGGAAGCCUGACGGAACAACGCCGCGUGAGAGAUGAAGGUCCUCGGAUCGUGAAGCUCUGUUAUGGGGGAAGAACAGAUGUGGAAUGAGCUGAGCACUGCUUGACGGUACCGAGUCAGAAAGCCACGGCUAACUACGUG
This 497-nucleotide ribosomal RNA is filed under the name uncultured bacterium. RNAcentral's name for it is "partial 16S ribosomal RNA". It matches the Rfam family "Bacterial small subunit ribosomal RNA", at positions 28 to 507 of the family's 1533-position model. The record is from RNAcentral.